GGCCUGGGCCUGGGCCUGUACCGCCCCGCCCGCCCGUAAGCACUGCACAAACGCUCCGGAAUCACACCCCGUCUUUCCCUGAAGCUUUUUUGCUGAUCCCGUACGUUCGAUGUUAAAUUUAAUGUGCUAAACCCCUGCCAUGCACGCAGGAAUUCCGUCAGCGCAGUCCCUAAGGCAGAGGCCCCUCCGUCCCCGGCGGUGCUGCCCUCACACACUGCCGCCAUCUGCCCCUCCGUGGUGUUCUGUCCCCGUGGACCACGCUCCACCGCUGCUCCCGCUGAACACCGAGGAGUCCGGCACGCAUCAGUCAGUCUCAAGGCGUCUCUGUGCUCCUGGACAUUUAACAAAUAACAGGUGGUAAACAACUCAGUGCUGCCUUUAUCUGUAGGCCCUCAGAGGUGAUUCAGCGCAGGGAACGCUUCAGUGGCUCCGAAAUGAGGCUGUCAUUGGGCUGGAAGGCAGCAGCUGCUUUCUGCUGUGUGUUGUCACCGUGUGCGCUGCAGUCCUCUGCUUCGGACCAGAAACAAGGGCAGGAGAGGUUUGGAUAAGUCAGAGGAGGUUCAUGGAGAGAUUUCUGCUGCCCAUCCUCCUGUGCAUGGCAGCAUUCUCCAGGCAUCCACCCGGCUGCUGGGGGAGAACCUGGCUUUCAAGUUUCCCACGCUGCCAAACCCCACAGUUUUCCACAGGCUUCUCUCAUGAUAGUGCCUGGCCACAUGUGAUUUGCUUUGAUCUUGGCACAGAGUCCAAAGUGCUGGAAAGUGAUCACCCAAAUUCUGGUAAGUGCUGUGCUUCCCCUUCCCGAGAGGGCUGGGUUCCCAGCAGCGCGAGGGCAGGAUCGAUUGGAAACCGUCCACAGCAAAGAACCCCAGGCAGGAGCAGCUCCCACUGCCUCCUCUGCAGCUCCCACCCGGGUUGCAUCAGCUGCACUCUGCUCCCAGCAGACUCCUUGAGGUUACACCCCAAGAAGGGGUUCCCCAGGCCUGAGGGAGCUUUGCAGGUCCCUGCUGGUCCCCCCGGCGGUCUGGCACAGGCCAGCCCACACCCCCAGAGCCAUUUCCCCUCCGUGCUGUCCCUUGCUAACGCUGUAGGGCAGCAUGGACCCAGCUGGGCCCAGGGUACCCCAACCCAGCGGAAAGUCAGGGGAUUUCCAGGCUGUGGGAAGAAACAGGAACCUAGUGCACGCAGUGUAGCCAAGCUCACCCUGAUAUGGCCAUGGCAGCAACCCUGUAGCACGCAUGCAAGCCAGUACUGCUGGGUCAGGGCCCUGAUAGUCUCAUUUCUGAUCCUGCUCCCCCAGGACCUGCUGCCCCCCAGAGGUCCAGCUGCCUGGGAAAGGCUUCUUCUGGGGAAGGCAGAGCACUUCCCAGAGAUCCUGCUUUCCUGCAAGGGCAGAGCACCAACACGCAGCCCACCAUGAACCCAGCACAGCUUCGUGCGGCCAUGGAGACACCCCCAACACCAUGGGGUGACACCCCCCUGUGGGGACAGGAAAAGCAGAGCCCUCUCACAUCAGGAAUGUGCCCUGUGCACCCCUGCUGCUCAUCAGCUCCAGGGAUCACAGAUGAAUUGGCACAGAGCCCAUUGCUGCCCACAGCAGGGGCUGUGCUGCAGCCUCAAAAACUCCCAGGGGGCUCUCCUACAUGGUGCUGCCAUCCCCUCAUACAACACAAGCACUCACCCCAGCACAGCCUCACAGAGGCAUCUGGGAGCCCUCCUCUUCCUAAUACAGAGGUAGUCAUUAGGACAGAAGCUUUCAAUGCUCCUUUGCACCCGAGGAAGCUUCUAGGGAUGGGGAGGGGACUGCAGGGUCAAUGGGUUCAUGCCUGAAAUGGGAACUGGGGUGGGAAGUGGGAAGGAGGCGAGCGCAGUGUCGUGGCCCCAGCUGCUGGGAUGGCAGUGGUCACAGGAGAAGCUGGAAAGAUCUGUGCUGGUUCUUCCAGCGUUUGGUUUAUUCAUAGUUGUAUCAUACUAAACGAAUAGCUCUAAGCGAUUUUAAGCCAUGGAAAUGCAUGACUAAUGGGGCUACUAUUGUUCUCAGAUAAGAGAGCCCAUGUCCUCAGGGGAACAAGCACAGCACUGCAGGGCAGUGCUAUCUGCAGGACACGCUUUGGUGCUUUUAGCGAGCCCAUGGCAGCGUGGGGUGAGAGUCAGAGCAGGAGGUGGUACUGAAGGUGUGACCUGAGAGAGCCAGAACCUGUCGCAUUAAGCUCUGGAGAAGGGAUAUUUCAGAAAGCACGGCACAAACGCUUUGACUAAUUAACGCGCGCAGAUGAAUGAAGUGUUCAGAGAGCAGUGCUCAUUAACAGCACCAAGAGCCCAAGCGUGACAAACUCUGCAUUUGGGUCUGAGCAGGACAAAGGGAACCGCCUUCAUGCUGGGCAAGGCCAAGGCCCCACCGCGGCUGUGGUGUCCCAGGG
Long non-coding RNA from Numida meleagris (helmeted guineafowl), 2417 nucleotides. The record is from Ensembl. Lineage: Eukaryota; Metazoa; Chordata; Aves; Galliformes; Numididae.